UACGUAGGGGGCAAGCGUUGUCCGGAUUUAUUGGGCGUAAAGAGCGUGUAGGCGGCCAGACAGGUCCGUUGUGAAAACUCGAGGCUCAACCUCGAGAUGUCGAUGGAAACCGUCUGGCUAGAGUCCGGAAGAGGAGUGUGGAAUUCCUGGUGUAGCGGUGAAAUGCGCAGAUAUCAGGAGGAACACCGAUGGCGAAGGCAGCUCGCUGGGACGGUACUGACGCUGAGACGCGAAAGCGUGGGGAGCAAACAGG
RNAcentral lists this ribosomal RNA (253 nucleotides) under uncultured bacterium. RNAcentral's name for it is "partial 16S ribosomal RNA". It matches the Rfam family "Bacterial small subunit ribosomal RNA", at positions 524 to 776 of the family's 1533-position model. The record is from RNAcentral.